GCAUUGGUGGUUCAGUGAUAGAACUCUCACCUUCCACGUGGUGAGCCUCAGGUUCGAUUCCUGGCCAAUGGA
This 72-nucleotide transfer RNA is filed under the name Loxodonta africana (African savanna elephant). It matches the Rfam family "tRNA". Rfam says of the family: Transfer RNA (tRNA) molecules are approximately 80 nucleotides in length. The record is from Rfam by way of RNAcentral. Lineage: Eukaryota; Metazoa; Chordata; Mammalia; Proboscidea; Elephantidae.